Long non-coding RNA from Mercenaria mercenaria, 1644 nucleotides. RefSeq lists it as uncharacterized. NCBI's taxonomy places the organism in Eukaryota, Metazoa, Mollusca, Bivalvia, Venerida, Veneridae. The transcript is spliced from 14 exons. The record is from RefSeq and is a predicted model, not a curated record.
AAUUUCAGUUAAAGCUUAUCUUUGGAAAGGUCAAUUGCCAACACUGAAGUCGCAAUCCUUGCAAUGUCUUGUGGUGGAGGAAUGGAAGUCACACUUUUGUUGUGUUUUCUUCUGACGUUGGCGGGAUCUGCUGAAUGUCUUGAAUGCUAUAGUUGUUCAAAUGUUGUCAAUUUGGAUAGUUGUAACACAACAAAAGCAUGUGGACUGGGUCAGUCGUGUUUCCACAAUGUAACUCAACAGAACACAGUCUUGGUUGUGUUGAAAAUAAGCGUUGUGAUUCCCAUGCCUCGGUUUCUAGCACUAUAGUUGGACGAGAUAUUGGUGCUAGACAGACAAAAUGCUUCGAAUGUUGUUCAACUGAUCACUGCAACACGGCUGUGUGUCAACAUUUAGAACCCAAGGUAUGUGUCGAUGAUAAAUCUAUGGACUGUGCAAGGCUUAACUCUUUGUUCAGCGUUUGUAGCGAUAUAAACCAUGCAAGGAACGUGUGUCCCAGAUUCUGUGGACUUUGUAAUAUUGUUGACGGAAACUGGACAACAUGGUCGUCUUGAGUAAAUGUGACGUUACCUGUGAAAAUGGGCAACAGUCUCGGACAAGAACGUGUACACAACCGGCACAAAGAAUGGUGGUCUAGACUGUGUUGGCGGAAGUACUGAUGUGAAAGCUUGCCAAAAGCAACUUUGUCCUGUACAUGGCGGAUGGAGUGACUGGUCACAAUGGGGUGUGUGCUCGGUUACAUGUGAUAUGGGCUUACAACGUCGCUCUCGAAACUGUUCUAAUCCUCAUCCAAGUCUCGCAGGCAACCAUUGCUUUGGUGACAGUGUGGAUCACAAACUCUGCAUGCCUGCACCAUGUGCAAAUGGUGGCUGGAGUGACUGGAGCUCAUGGAGUACAUGCAGUGCGACAUGUGGAGGAGGAAUUCGUUCUCAAUCAAGAUCUUGUUCGAACCCUCAUCCAUCGCCGUAUGGGAAAUAUUGCUUAGGUUCUAAUGACAGAGUGGAGUCAUGUGCCAAUAGGAAUUGUGAAACGAAACACUGCUUGUCCAGUCCAUUGGUACAUGGUCAAUGUUAUUGAAGUUCUUCACGAUUAUCUAUGUUCUUGCAACUAUGGUUACGAAGGCCGUUACUGCAAUAUCUCGGUCAGCCAUUGCCAACCCGAUCCAUGCAUUAAUGGCACAUGUGUAGACCUGUUAAAUGAUUAUUCUUGUACCUGUCAUCACGGGUUCGAGGGGCGUCAUUGUAACAUUUCCAGUUCACCUUGCAAGACAAGCCCGUGCAAACAUGGUCAAUGUUUUGAAAGUAAAACUGGUUACAUUUGUGUUUGUGAAGACGGUUUUGGUGGAAAACAAUGUGAUAUAUCUAAUUAUUACUGUUAGACAAAUCCAUGUAUGCAUGGAACGUGUAUCUCUGGAAACUCAGAUUACACAUGUACCUGUAGUACCGGUUAUGUUGGAAAGAACUGUGACAUCACAAAUGCAUCAGACUGUUAUGACAUGCUGCACAGGGACAUAAGCAGUAAGAGCGGAGUGUAUAAUAUUACCUUGUGGAGAUCUAAACAGGUGAAAGAAGUCUUUUGCGAUAUGGAAACCGACUUAGGAGGAUGGACGGUAUGUUAUAUUUUUUGGAACUUUUAUUGCGGUAUUGA